RNAcentral lists this ribosomal RNA (468 nucleotides) under uncultured bacterium. RNAcentral describes it as "bacterial SSU rRNA". It matches the Rfam family "Bacterial small subunit ribosomal RNA", at positions 28 to 507 of the family's 1533-position model. The record is from RNAcentral.
GACGAACGCUGGCGGCGUGCCUAACACAUGCAAGUCGAACGGGGUGAUUUGCUUCGGUAAAUCACUUAGUGGCGAACGGGUGAGUAACGCGUGAGGAACCUGCCCUUUCAGUGGGGGACAACAGUUGGAAACGACUGCUAAUACCGCAUAACGCAGCGAGACCGCAUGGUCUUACUGCCAAAGCUUUAUGUGCUGAAAGAUGGACUCGCGUCCAAUUAGAUAGUUGGUGGGGUAACGGCCCACCAAGUCGACGAUUGGUAGCCGGACUGAGAGGUUGAACGGCCACAUUGGGACUGAGACACGGCCCAGACUCCUACGGGAGGCAGCAGUGGGGAAUAUUGCGCAAUGGGGGAAACCCUGACGCAGCAACGCCGCGUGCAGGAAGAAGGUCUUCGGAUUGUAAACUGUUGUCGCAAGGGAAGAAGACAGUGACGGUACCUUGUAGAGAAAGUCACGGCUAACUACGUG